AGAGUUUGAUCCUGGCUCAGAACGAACGCUGGCGGCAUGCCUAACACAUGCAAGUCGGACGCUCCCGGGGGUUUCGGCCUCUGGGGGAGUGGCGGACGGGUGAGUAGCGCGUGGGAACCUGCCCUGUUGUGGGGGAUAACCGAGGGAAACUUCGGCUAAUACCGCAUGCGCCGGGAGCGAUCCCGGGAAAGAUUUAUCGC
RNAcentral lists this ribosomal RNA (200 nucleotides) under uncultured bacterium. RNAcentral describes it as "partial 16S ribosomal RNA". It matches the Rfam family "Bacterial small subunit ribosomal RNA", at positions 8 to 218 of the family's 1533-position model. The record is from RNAcentral.